GUCUUCUGAGAGGUGGCGAAAACUCAGAGAUCUGAAGGGAUUGAAGACUGACGCAGAGAUGGCUUUUUUCUGCUGAACAGGUAAGACAUUUCAGUGGCUCAAUAGGUAGCUAGCGAACAUUAGCGCACUUGUUCACUUGAUUCAGCCGGGUAUCGAGUUUCCUAUGUUUUUGUUUGUUUUGUUUUGCUGUGGUCAGUGUGCUAAAUUCCACUUAUUUUCUGCUAGCUAUGCGGGACAGCAAUUCACCCCUACUCCAAGUAUUGGAGCUAAUAUACAACCCUUACGUAUACCUCAAACCAUCAGAUUCAUCCAUGCAGAGCAGCAGUGCUGAGGCAUAACCCACGUUUUAUUGUCUUUUGUCUGCAGUUUCCACACUAAAUAAACAGAAGCAGCAGCAGCAGCAGCAGCAGUAAACCACGCCCACAGACUUGUACAGACUGUAGGAAAUAUGAAAAUCUUUAUGAUCACGAAAAACAGCCAUUCCUGAAAACCUCUCAGGACGAUCAUGGGUGUCUAUGACAGCGCACAGAACCGUGCAAUAAAAAGUUGUGAAAUUUGGCACACUGAUUGGAGCCUAUCCCAGGGUGCAUUGGGCACAAGGCGGGGGACACCCUGGACUGGGCACCAGUCCAUCGCAGGUCACAAUCACACAUACAUUCACACACCCAUUCAUACACUACAGAUACUAUUUGGACAUGCCAAUCAGCCUACAAUGCAUGUCUUUGGACUCUAGGAAACCCCUGAAGCAUGGGGUGAACUCAGCAGGAAUCGAACCCUCAACCCUGGAGGUGUGAGGCAAACGUGCUAUAU
Molecule: long non-coding RNA, 810 nt
Organism: Ictalurus furcatus (blue catfish)
Lineage: Eukaryota; Metazoa; Chordata; Actinopteri; Siluriformes; Ictaluridae
Exons: 3
Source: RefSeq, a predicted model, not a curated record